Long non-coding RNA from Panicum virgatum (switchgrass), 1232 nucleotides. RefSeq lists it as uncharacterized. The transcript has 2 exons. Lineage: Eukaryota; Viridiplantae; Streptophyta; Magnoliopsida; Poales; Poaceae. The record is from RefSeq and is a predicted model, not a curated record.
UUCAAUCUCAAUGAUUCAUGGAUUAUGCAGAUUGUGGAGUUCAAUGGUCAGUUCAUCACUGUGGACAGACAUCACGGGCUGUACACCGUGUCCUUGGCCCCGCAGCUUGGUCUGAAGGGGAUAGCAAUUGAGUGGUGGGACGACAUGUUGGAAUGGCCAUUGUCACAGCCAUGGCUGCUUGCGUGGAGCAGAAUGCUUCUAACUAUUGAUAGCUACAUGCUCCUCUUCAGAUAUACAUCACCUAACGACUACAAAGUCUACCACCUGGAUAUGUCCACUGAACCUGCAACUUGUGUUUCCUUUCAUCAUCUGUGUUUCCUUGAGUUGAUAGCCCUUUCUUGUUGGAGUGGCUAUGUUUCCUUCCAUCAUAUGUGUUUCUUUAUGUGUUGUGUUUCCUUUCAUCAUCUGUGUUUCUUGGGAUCACUUCUGCGUGGAGAUCCUAGGUGAUUGAUCACGACCACGAGCUGCCUGCCUGAAGUUUCGAAUUCAGUCUUUUAGGUAAGUGAAACGUACAUAUUUCUUCUUCAUCAAUAUUAUUAUUUGCAGAGCUCUUUUCCUGCCCAGGUGUUUUCUUUUCCUGCCCAAGUAUUUCUUUUCCUAGAAACAGAUUCAUAGAUUGUUUCUUUUCCUGCAAUCUUCUUCUUUUAUACACAUAUCACCCCAUAUUACUUGGCAGCCUGCUUGAUUGAGACUUGAGAACCUGAAGUACUCAAUAAUGUCUUUCAUGUCCAUACAUAGGUUAAACAAAAAGCCCUAAAUUUGUCUACGAUGUCUUUCAUGUCUAGACAUGGGAUAGAUUUCAACAGCCAAUUGUGCAAGCUGCAACAAAAGCAAUAUUGCAGAUCUAGCACCACAAUAAGAAAAGCACAUGAUGUCUCCCUUCACUGAGUUAGCAAACCAAGAGAGAAAUAUACAAACACAGCUCAUAAAGAAAACAACAAAUGCAUCUCUCCAAAACCAAUUGGGUGUGAAAAGUCCUGACUUCCAUUCUUGUAGUCCUGAUUUCAACUCUUGGGCAUCUAUUUACUUUCUUCUUUUCUGAAGCUUGAUAAUCAUUUGGAUGAGUUUAACAGACACAUGAGCAGAGGUUUUUGACUGAUCAGGUACAACAGAAGUCCCUUUAUGUAUUCAUCAUGAAAUUGAUUCAUCCACUGCAAAUUGUAAAAAAGGAAGUUAUAGACAGUAUUUUCAUUACUCCAUAGCAGGUUAUAAGGGGAAGUUCAAUCACCAUA